UACGUAGGGUGCGAGCGUUAAUCGGAAUUACUGGGCUUAAAGAGUUCGUAGGCGGCAUUGCAAGUAGGGUGUGAAAGCCCUCGGCUCAACCGAGGAAUUGCGCUCUAAACUGCAGUGCUUGAGGAACCUAGAGGUGAGCAGAACAGAUGGUGGAGCGGUGAAAUGCGUUGAUAUCAUCUGGAAUACCGGAGGCGAAGGCGGCUCACUGGGAGUUUUCUGACGCUGAGGAACGAAAGCCAGGGUAGCGAACGGG
This 253-nucleotide ribosomal RNA is filed under the name uncultured bacterium. Its description in RNAcentral is "partial 16S ribosomal RNA". It matches the Rfam family "Bacterial small subunit ribosomal RNA", at positions 524 to 776 of the family's 1533-position model. The record is from RNAcentral.